UAAACGACUCUCGGCAACGGAUAUCUCGGCUCUUGCAUCGAUGAAGAACGUAGCGAAAUGCGAUACUUGGUGUGAAUUGCAGAAUCCCGUGAACCAUCGAGUCUUUGAACGCAAGUUGCGCCGAAGCCAUUAGGCCGAAGCACGUCUGCCUGGGCGUCACGC
RNAcentral lists this ribosomal RNA (162 nucleotides) under Arbutus xalapensis. RNAcentral describes it as "5.8S ribosomal RNA". It matches the Rfam family "5.8S ribosomal RNA". From Rfam's summary of the family: 5.8S ribosomal RNA (5.8S rRNA) is a component of the large subunit of the eukaryotic ribosome. It is transcribed by RNA polymerase I as part of the 45S precursor that also contains 18S and 28S rRNA. The record is from RNAcentral. Lineage: Eukaryota; Viridiplantae; Streptophyta; Magnoliopsida; Ericales; Ericaceae.